Molecule: ribosomal RNA, 564 nt
Filed under: uncultured bacterium
Lineage: Bacteria
Description: partial 16S ribosomal RNA
Rfam family: Bacterial small subunit ribosomal RNA
Source: RNAcentral
UGGGGAAUUUUGGACAAUGGGGGAAACCCUGAUCCAGCCAUCCCGCGUGUGCGAUGAAGGCCUUCGGGUUGUAAAGCACUUUUGGCAGGAAAGAAACGUCGCGGGUUAAUACCCCGCGAAACUGACGGUACCUGCAGAAUAAGCACCGGCUAACUACGUGCCAGCAGCCGCGGUAAUACGUAGGGUGCAAGCGUUAAUCGGAAUUACUGGGCGUAAAGCGUGCGCAGGCGGUUCGGAAAGAAAGAUGUGAAAUCCCAGAGCUUAACUUUGGAACUGCAUUUUUAACUACCGGGCUAGAGUGUGUCAGAGGGAGGUGGAAUUCCGCGUGUAGCAGUGAAAUGCGUAGAUAUGCGGAGGAACACCGAUGGCGAAGGCAGCCUCCUGGGAUAACACUGACGCUCAUGCACGAAAGCGUGGGGAGCAAACAGGAUUAGAUACCCUGGUAGUCCACGCCCUAAACGAUGUCAACUAGCUGUUGGGGGCCUUCGGGCCUUGGUAGCGCAGCUAACGCGUGAAGUUGACCGCCUGGGGAGUACGGUCGCAAGAUUAAAACUCAAAGGAAUU